RNAcentral lists this ribosomal RNA (556 nucleotides) under uncultured bacterium. RNAcentral describes it as "partial 16S ribosomal RNA". It matches the Rfam family "Bacterial small subunit ribosomal RNA", at positions 355 to 905 of the family's 1533-position model. The record is from RNAcentral.
UGGGGAAUUUUGGACAAUGGGCGAAAGCCUGAUCCAGCAAUGCCGCGUGUGUGAAGAAGGCCUUCGGGUUGUAAAGCACUUUUGUCCGGAAAGAAAUCCUUGGCUCUAAUACAGUCGGGGGAUGACGGUACCGGAAGAAUAAGCACCGGCUAACUACGUGCCAGCAGCCGCGGUAAUACGUAGGGUGCAAGCGUUAAUCGGAAUUACUGGGCGUAAAGCGUGCGCAGGCGGUUUGCUAAGACCGAUGUGAAAUCCCCGGGCUCAACCUGGGAACUGCAUUGGUGACUGGCAGGCUAGAGUAUGGCAGAGGGGGGUAGAAUUCCACGUGUAGCAGUGAAAUGCGUAGAGAUGUGGAGGAAUACCGAUGGCGAGGGCAGCCCCCUGGGCCAAUACUGACGCUCAUGCACGAAAGCGUGGGGAGCAAACAGGAUUAGAUACCCUGGUAGUCCACGCCCUAAACGAUGUCAACUAGUUGUUGGGGAUUCAUUUCCUAGUAACGUAGCUAACGCGUGAAGUUGACCGCCUGGGGAGUACGGUCGCAAGAUUAAAACUCAAA